Molecule: transfer RNA, 119 nt
Filed under: Candidatus Aenigmatarchaeota archaeon
Lineage: Archaea; Nanobdellati; Candidatus Aenigmatarchaeota
Description: tRNA-Ala
Rfam family: tRNA
About the family: Transfer RNA (tRNA) molecules are approximately 80 nucleotides in length. Their secondary structure includes four short double-helical elements and three loops (D, anti-codon, and T loops).
Source: RNAcentral
GGGCCGAUAGAUCAACGGUAGAUCGCCUGCCUUGCAAGCAGGAGGCUGUGGGUUCAAAAGCACUUUCUUUAAAAAAAGAAAGCGCCCAAAGAAAAGGGCUGAACAUCCCACUCGGUCCA